CUGGCGUCGGGACUCCUUCCUUGGGGACCUGGCUUACAAAGGCCAGGCCAGCCCUGCACCGCGGUGUCUGCGACGGGCCACCGAGUGGGUCCCCGACCAAUGAACCCCAACUUUAGAGAGCAGUGGCUCCGGGGGUCCCGCGGGUCCCAGGCUCUCUGUCGCCUGCCCCGGGAGGCCUUUUCUUUCUUUGGGCCGACAAGGCGGGGUCAUCUACCGCGAAGACGAAAAUCUUUCCAGGAAGUUUGUACCUAUUAAUAUUCCAGUUCCUGGCAGCCGCUCUCCGCGCCGGGGAGGGGGCAGGGCGGACCCCGCAGCUGCUUCUACAGCCGAGGCAAGGGGCGGAGGGGCAGCUCCUAGGUCCCCACACCACGGCGGGGGCAGAAACCGCUCCGAGGCUCAACGUGCCGGAGCCCGGAGGUUUGCCCGGAGCGGCGCGCGGUGGGACCCGGAGGAUCCCGAGGCCCAGACGAAACCAAGAGCUGGGACGCGGGAGGGGUGUGGGAGAGGGACAGGAGGGAUCGGUGCCUCGGGGAGGGGUGUGGGGCAACCCGGGGCCCGCACUUGGGCUGCGCCGCUCCCCCCAAAAGAAAGCUGGUCCGGGAAGCUGGAGCCCGCGGCCCUGGAGAGGUCGGGACCCUGGUCCUGACCUUGCUGUGGUAACACAGCCGCAGGGCGCUGCAGCAGAAAUUUGAUAUUUGAGAGCCUACGGGCUCCUCGCCACCACCUUGCACGACGGCCACUGUCUCCAUCACAGACGGAGGAACUGGAGCUCACGAGCAGCCGAGGGACUGGCGCGCUGGAGGUCGUGGUGUGGUCAGCCACCGCAGGGACCCGCUGUGAGCCAGGAUCUCCUCCUAGAAGGAAGCGCAGCUGUCCUCCUGCAGGAGCGGCCAGCAGACUCCUCAGCCCCGGGAACCAACCGCAGCACCCACCCGGAGCUUGCUGGAUUUGCAGAAGCUCUUUCGGGGCCCAAGUGCCAGCUCAGUCUUUCUGUCUGGUCACAUGUGGGACAUAAAUCACUUUGUCAAAGCACCCGAGUUUGUAACGCCGCUGGGGCCUCUGUAGAUAAGCUUUGACUGGAGUGUAUGUAGGCUUCUGACCUGGGCUCGUCAAGUGCUAACUGACCCCGAGCAGGAAUUAAGUUCCUGUGUUGCACUGUCUUCCUCGGCAUUCUAGAGUCGUUUGCAAGGCGCUAUGGCAAUCUUCCUGCCCACGAUGGUUAAACCUUACCCUGUGCGGGGACUCUGUCCACCUCUGUGUGUCCUUCCUGUCCAGCCACCAGGUCACCAGUGCUGAGACAUGAACGGACAAAGGUGUCUCAACACCCGCUCCUCGCCUGCCUCCGCACGCACGCAAGCCUCCAACCUUCAGGGUCUCUUGGUAGCCUAGGAUCCAUGUACACCAGUGGGCCUGAGGGGAUGCUGUGACAGAAUUUGGUAUCUUUUUUGGGGGGGGGAGGGUUUCGAGACGGUUUCUCUGUGUAGCUUUGGGGCCUAUCCUGGCACUCGCUCUGUAGACCAGACUGGCCUUGAACUCACAGAGAUCCGCCUGCCUUUGCCUCCCAUGUGCUGGGAUUAAAGGCGUGCGCCACCAAUGCCCGGCUCAGGAUUUGGUAUCUUAAGAUAGGAUUUGCCAACUAGAAAGUCUUCCCAUAGCCCUUCUCCUGAGAAAAAAUCCUGAAAGGCCAAGUCCCAAAUGGAGUGAGUGUGAGACCCAUCGAGGGUGGCCUCUUUUCUGUCUCCUUGGAGUGCCAGGUGUGGAGACCUCUCCUGGACUUUCAACCGUCAGCAGGAGAUGCCUUUUGGAACCUAAAGUCCACAAGCAUGGCUGCCUCCUCAGCUCUGAAGCCUUCUUCGGGUUGUUUUCCUUCACACCCAAAAGGUUCAGAGAGAGCUCCACAGAGGAGGGGCAGGAAUAUGGGCGCCACUGUUGACCUCUGCAGAGGAGCCAGCAGCAGCCGCAGAAAAGAAAACGCAGGACCAGCUGGAAGACCUGCCAUGUCGGGCAUGCAGGCUCAAGGAUGACUCUACAGGCCGGGCAGUCCUCCACAGACCCUGGAAUCUGCUUCCUCCCCUUGGACCUGGGAGUUCGUGACUCAGCUGUUUCCUGAUGGCAGUGACCCGCGUCUGAAGUCCAUCGACCUGGGAGCACCUGUGCAACUAUCAAUAGCCAGAGACACCCAAGGUUUGCGUGAGGGGCUCGGAACAGGAAGCAGGACAUGGGACUGAGCCGGCCGUGCUGGCCUUGAGCCAUGGAGCUUACAAAGCAGAGCAGGGAUGAGCUCUCCCAGGCCAUGCUGCUGCCGCAGAUUCAUGAGUGAAUCUCGUUAAGAUACUAUUUUUAUUUCUCAUUUUUCAGGUGGAAAUUGUUUCACAACACCUGCACUGAUUAAUUCUUGUUAAUUUGACAAACUACAGUCACGGGGAAGAGGGAACCUCAACUGAGGAGCUGCCUGACAGACUGACCUGUGGGCGUGUCUUGAUUGAAGAUGGAUGUGGACUGUGGCACCACUCGCAGAUGGCCCUGGGUUGUAUAAGCGAGCAAGCUGAGCAAGUUAUGGAGAGCAAGCCAGUAGGCAGUGGUUCCUCUACUGUUCCUGCUUAAGAUUCCUGCCUCGCUUCCCUUGCUCAUGGACUGUGAUGUGGACAUGUAAGCCAACAAACCUUCUCUAAGUCGCUUUUGCUUAUGGUGUUUGUC
This 2697-nucleotide long non-coding RNA is filed under the name Cricetulus griseus (Chinese hamster). RNAcentral's name for it is "lncRNA (ENSCGRG00015041642.1)". The record is from RNAcentral. Lineage: Eukaryota; Metazoa; Chordata; Mammalia; Rodentia; Cricetidae.